Molecule: transfer RNA, 71 nt
Filed under: Caudoviricetes sp.
Lineage: Duplodnaviria; Heunggongvirae; Uroviricota; Caudoviricetes
Description: tRNA-Pro
Source: RNAcentral
GUAUGGUUAUAUGUCAUACGCACCUGCUUUGGGAGCAGGGGGUCCCCAGUUCGAGUCCGGGUACCCCGACA